UCAGAAAAGCAAGGAUCUAUACUCACUCCAGUAGCCCCCAAAACCACCGUUCUUAAUAAACUAUUUUCUG
RNAcentral lists this transfer RNA (70 nucleotides) under Oreaster reticulatus. RNAcentral describes it as "tRNA-Pro". Lineage: Eukaryota; Metazoa; Echinodermata; Asteroidea; Valvatida; Oreasteridae. The record is from RNAcentral.